AAAUAAGAAGCAAAUUAUGCAUUUAAUUUCGACUUAAAAGAAAGAGAAGAAAUUCUCCUUAUUUA
Molecule: transfer RNA, 65 nt
Filed under: Trabala vishnou
Lineage: Eukaryota; Metazoa; Arthropoda; Insecta; Lepidoptera; Lasiocampidae
Description: tRNA-Arg
Source: RNAcentral